This 305-nucleotide ribosomal RNA is filed under the name uncultured Pseudomonas sp. RNAcentral describes it as "bacterial SSU rRNA". It matches the Rfam family "Bacterial small subunit ribosomal RNA", at positions 1076 to 1382 of the family's 1533-position model. The record is from RNAcentral. Lineage: Bacteria; Pseudomonadati; Pseudomonadota; Gammaproteobacteria; Pseudomonadales; Pseudomonadaceae.
UGGGUUAAGUCCGUAACGAGCGCAACCCUGUCCUUAGUUACCAGCACGUUAUGGUGGGCACUCUAAGGAGACUGCCGGUGACAAACCGGAGGAAGGUGGGGAUGACGUCAAGUCAUCAUGGCCCUUACGGCCUGGGCUACACACGUGCUACAAUGGUCGGUACAAAGGGUUGCCAAGCCGCGAGGUGGAGCUAAUCCCAUAAAACCGAUCGUAGUCCGGAUCGCAGUCUGCAACUCGACUGCGUGAAGUCGGAAUCGCUAGUAAUCGUGAAUCAGAAUGUCACGGUGAAUACGUUCCCGGGCCUU